RNAcentral lists this ribosomal RNA (492 nucleotides) under uncultured bacterium. RNAcentral's name for it is "partial 16S ribosomal RNA". It matches the Rfam family "Bacterial small subunit ribosomal RNA", at positions 29 to 507 of the family's 1533-position model. The record is from RNAcentral.
AGUGAACGCUGGCGGUAGGCCUAACACAUGCAAGUCGAACGGCAGCACAGUAAGAGCUUGCUCUUACGGGUGGCGAGUGGCGGACGGGUGAGGAAUACAUCGGAAUCUACUUUUUCGUGGGGGAUAACGUAGGGAAACUUACGCUAAUACCGCAUACGACCUACGGGUGAAAGCAGGGGAUCUUCGGACCUUGCGCGAUUGAAUGAGCCGAUGUCGGAUUAGCUAGUUGGCGGGGUAAAGGCCCACCAAGGCGACGAUCCGUAGCUGGUCUGAGAGGAUGAUCAGCCACACUGGAACUGAGACACGGUCCAGACUCCUACGGGAGGCAGCAGUGGGGAAUAUUGGACAAUGGGCGCAAGCCUGAUCCAGCCAUACCGCGUGGGUGAAGAAGGCCUUCGGGUUGUAAAGCCCUUUUGUUGGGAAAGAAAAGCAGCAGGUUAAUACCCCGCUGUUCUGACGGGACCCAAAGAAUAAGCACCGGCUAACUUCGUG